Equus caballus (horse) is the source of this 5068-nucleotide non-coding RNA. NCBI's taxonomy places the organism in Eukaryota, Metazoa, Chordata, Mammalia, Perissodactyla, Equidae. The record is from RefSeq and is a predicted model, not a curated record.
AGGGGGAAAAAAAGCCGCACAAUCUCCGUAUGUGCGCGCGCGUUGAGAUAGACGUUGGCAGGAGAAAAAAAAAGGAGGGGAUAUUGGGGAACCCAGGACGACCCAGGUGGAGCGUGGCCUCCCCCCAACCCCGCCCCCAACAGCGAGCUUCUCGGGCCAGCCGGCGCCACUGUGGAGCUCAGCGCGGACCGCAGCCCCGCCGAGGCCCGCAAGUCUGGAGGUCGAGCGCCCCCUCCCUCCCAAUCCGAGGAACCAACCAGAAGGCGCCCGAGUUGCUCCCGCGGGGCAAAAAUGGAGCUGGUCUGGGUUUACCGACCUGAAGUCAGAAGCAGGGGCCCAGGAGGGUCCUGGAUUUGGCAGCCCUUCAGCCUCCUUAGGGCUUUCUCCAGAGCUCAAUUCUCUCCCAGCCCCCAGACACACUGCUCUGUGCCCUCCGGUUUCCACCCCUCGCCCUGUCCCUGAGCCUGUGAUCCCUGGGCAGGAAGGAGGUGCUGCUGCCUCCUGGACGGACUGGGCCAGCACCUUCUGUGUGGUGGCCCUGGGCCAGGCUGGACCCACCUCUCUGGUUUUGCUUGCAUGUUCCACCAAGCACACAUGCUCUGGUCUUCUGGCUCUUUCCGUCACUACAGCCACCAACCACUUGGCAAACUCAUUCUCAGUCUUCGAGACCCAGCCCAAUGUCUGCUCCUUGGUGGAGGCCAUCAUGGCCUUCUUGUGCCCUGAAUAGUUAUUUGCCAGAUUAGGCCCCUCAGCCCAGUGCCUGGCUGUUAUCUCUUCAGGUGUCUGUCUCCUGCGGGGGCCUCAGGCUCUGGGAGGGCAAGGACCAGGCUUUCUGGGCCCUGUCUGAUGCCACACCUGGCAGAUGAUCUGGGGAGCUUAAUGAAUAAGUGCUUGGUUGAUUGAUUGAUUGAAUGAAUGAAUGAAUGAGAGAAGUCGUGAGCCAGUGAAGGGUUUAAUGCUCCCCACUGCCCCCACACCAGCCCUCAUAGUAGCUUCCUUGCUUGCCCACAUACAACCCUUCCUGCCGUGAGUUCCCCCGGGCUGGAUAGGGCUCGGGGAAGGGAGGGAGCUCUGAAUGUCUGUGGGAAGCUACAGCAUCCUGCCUAUUGACUUGGCACUGGGGAGAAGCAAAAGCCACUGUGCCCUUGCUGCUAGGAGGAGGGAAGAGGAGUUGAGGGGAGGGUCCACAUUUUGCUUCCCUGUCAGCCCCACUGCCGGUCAUCUGCUGGGAGGGAACUGGGUCAAGCGGUAGUCAGAAACCAUCUGCUCGAGAAGCUGGGAUUAUCCCGCCCUCUGCUGAUCCCCGAGCCCGCAGAGCCAAGGGUGUAAAUUGAGUUCCUCCAGAUCACCUUGUGCUUUGUGGGGGGCCCCCAUCCCCUCCUGAGGGUAAGGACCUGUUCCUGUUGCUUCAAAGCCUCAUUUAGCACUGGGCUCAGUUCUCCUUGUACUGGUGACCUCAGCCUUCAAUCUGAGCCAGGGAUGUGACUGUGCCUGUCAGUUUUGAAUACAAUAACGCACAUCAAUGCUGCAGCCAACGCCCUCCACACGGGCUGCAGGACCAGGCCGCCCCCACACGGAAGGCUGGCUCCUUACCAUCAUCAAGGAACUCGGGCCCAAUGGGGAAGGCAAGAAGAAGACAUGGCGACGUUAUGGAUACAGGCACACAGAAUAUGGAGAAGGCUUCCUCUGCAGAGCUCAGAGUCCUUGCUCUCACAACAUAUUUUUUUGCAUAACCCAUAGCGAAGUUUCAAUUUGAGGAUGAUGAAAAUGUCCAAAAGUGACAAAGCAAACCAUACAAAUGAGCCUUAGGGUUCAUUUGCUGGCAGAAUUGAGAACUCAGGCACAGGUCUCGGACACAUAGCCCCUGCAGAGUGUGGGGGUGAGAAGUCCUUCACAGCAGUGGCGCUCGGGGCGGGGGCUGGAGAAGGCCUUUGGCAGAGCUGGGCUCAGGGACCCGGUGCUCACCUCUGCACUGCUGUCAAAUGUCACCGUCACGCGUCACACCUCUCCAGAGCAGCUCCCUGUCUGCAUAGAAGGGGCUGCAUGCCAAAUCAGAGAUGUCUUGCCUACCGGGCAACCCAAGGCACAGGAGAGGGACAAGCCUGGAGCCAAGUGUGAAGCAGGACCUGGCCAAAGUGGGACCCAAGGGGCAAGGGGCCAUGCUGACCUUUGUAAAAGCACAGACGCCAGCACAGAGCCCCCACGGGUUGCCCCAAGGCCACCUCAUGCCUUCGAGGUCACGGAGGCAAGUCCUUGAUGAGAGAGUGGAUGGGGGAGGGUUAUUCUGAUAAAACAGCCCCACAUUUCUCAGCAGGGCAGCCGGAUGGUGCCCACCUUUCAAGGGCCCUGGCACCCCUCCACAUCCUUAAGUCUUGCCGUGACCUCGGCAAGGAGGCCUGUCAUCUCUACAACUUGUGAGCUGUAGGGCUGAGCCGUUCAUGCUGUUCCCCUGAGGCUGCCCAGCAGCCGCCAGCGUGCCUGCUAAGGGAAGGCCUCCAAACUGAACUUACUUCAUCUCCUGAAGGAGCUGAGGCGCCCGAGCAUGACUUGGUCAGUGGGCCUGGGGUUCAGACGCAGACGCCUGAGUUCCACUCCAUCCGCACGGCAAGCAGCCACGUGCAUGCUCCACUCCUGCCUGCCCCGAGGCGUAGCAUGCUGACAUGGGCACAUCAGCCCUUCACGUGCUCCCAGGCUAUUCCUAAACCAGGCUUUAACACCAGACAUCUCGUAGGGCUUCUCAUCUAGUCAUUCCUUUUGAGCUGACUCCCUUAGCUCCCAAACCUCUGACAUCUAUCAUUUGUUAGCAAGAACCCUACAAAUCACUGUGUUCCUGGCCCCACUCUCAGUAAGACCAAGAUGCUGGGAAGCAGCCAGCUUGAGAGGACCUGGGGGAGCCCUCUUCCAUGUCGCUGGGCAAGGGCUGGGGGCCGGGGUCCCAGAGGCGGUGUGAGAGUGGCAUUUAACAUGUUUUCAAUGCUCGGAAAAUAUUUCGAUAGCAGGCCCCAUAGGGAUGGCUUGUCCAAGUUGGUAUAUUUUCUAGAACAAUAGAGGCGCUAAAUACAGCAUUUGGUUAGUGUCCCACCUCAAAUUGCUAAGCACAAACUAUUCCUGGCACAGGAUUCCUUCCCAUUCAUUCCAUAACCACGUUGACCUAGCUGCUGGGGAUACAGCGACGCAUGAGUCAAAGGCCCUGACCCUUAUCACCCGCACCCCGCAGUCUACAGGGGAGACCGAACACGAACAGGUACGGCCUGGGACCCACUGGGAUGGUGCAGUGUGUGGGCGCGAGCAGAAGGAACACCUACAUCUGCCGGGAGUCUCAGAGGAAGCUGGAUGUGAACUGAGCCUUGAAACAUGAGGAGGUGUUUUCCCGGUGGACAAGAGAGAGGGAUGUCAUCUGGGUGAGGAAUAAGGGCAGGUCCAGUGUAGCUAGGCCAGAAAGGGGCAUUAAGGUCAGGAGGGCAUGUGACCCCUUGCAAGAGUAUUGUAGGAGGAUCUUGGCAAAGUUGUAGAGGCUGAGAUCCAGCCCAUCGGGGAGGAGCUGAGGGUCAGAGGUAAGGUGGUGGUGCGGGCCCACAGGCAGCAGGCUGGGCAGCUAAUGGGAGACAGGAGGGCUGAGCAGAAGAGUCGAGGACCUCCCUCACCCCAUUGCUGCCGUGAGCAAUCCCAUAUGCUGCUCCCAGAUGCCCGUGAGUGGUGAGAGCCCAAAGAGCUGGUUAUUUUGCAACUAACAAAGGAAAAGUAGAGCAUUUCAAAGGUUUCUUUGCUUUGUGUCUCCAAACCCGACUGUGUCUACUCUGGGAAAACUUGUGUCCAAGCACCAAAGUCCUCUUAAAUACUGUUCCUCAGUCCUCAGCGUUCUUGAACUUCAGAGCUGGCCUUUGCAUCUACACUGUGGAGGAUGGAAAGUGACCUGUCUGUCCAGUGAGCCGCCAGUCAAGACGAAUGCACAGCCGACCCAAGAUAGCAUUUCUCAGGUUCUAAUGUGUGACAGGGACAACACAGAAAAAACAAGGAAAUUACUCUUGUAAACAGGUAUAGACAUCUUCUUGCUUUUUAAACAAAACCAGUGAAUGUGUUAGUCUAUGGAUGUCUCUGAAAGCUGAGGACCUCUAUUCCCAGUCCACCCCGCAGGGUACCUGAGGGCUCCAGAUUCCUACCAAUCAAUGCCUGGGAGGCCCCCACAGUCAAGUAGCUUAGAAAGAGCCACCACGAUGUUACGCUUCUCUCAUGUUCUCCGCUUUGUCACUUAAGAAUCUAAUUGAAUUUUCACAGCCAGGAAACAGAUCCCUAUCUUGCCAUUGAAGGGAGUUCUGCUGGAGGAACCAUUGUGGUUAAAGAAGAGGAAAAACCAGAGCCACUCCCAGCUCAGUCUCCCCACAGCGCAGGCCCAUUGACUGGCUCAUAAAGCUGUGUUAAUUUCAAGUACUCUCCAUUUUCAGCCCAUCCCCUCCGGCCCAGCCCCAGAGGCAGGCUUAGGGCUGGGCAUUGGGCGGGCACACCUGUUCCCACUGCUCUCCCCAGUCUUCCCUGGGGUUCCCCACCCCCAGGGCCCAGGGCCCAGUGAGCCGGGGCUAAUCUGAGAAAGGUGGCAUUUCUCCACACCUCCGUGGGCUGAGCAUGGCCGAGCAUUCCAGCCUUCUCAGUGCCUUCCCUCUCCCAGACGUUAGCUUAUGGGUUGAAAUGCUGGAGAAAAAAAAAUGCAUGAAAAGGGAAGGAUCCGAUUUUUGCUUGAUGGAUAAAUGUUUUUAUAUCUAAUUAGGAGACCCCACUGUGAAGAGGGUAGAGUGUUUUAGUUCUGGCUUAUUGAAGGACAAAGACCUAUUGUGCACUGGUGCUCUGUAAGGUGGUAAAAGAUUCGCAGAGUCAGUCUACACUCGUGCCGCCAAUAGAACCGCGAGCAGAGCCCAGGCUGACGGGCAGCGUCCCCAGGGCUCCCACUGCAAGCGGGGCCUGUCUGCCCAGAGUUCUUUCAUGCAAGUUGGUCUCAAGCUGGGGAUUUAAGGAUUUGCCCUUCUCCACCUUUCCAGAAAAGGAAAAAGAAAAAGAAAGAUGGAUAGAUAAGGAA